UAUUUGCUUGUUUAAGAAGCUUUGAUUUGUUUUAAACCUUUGUUUUAAUAUCUUGUAACUUGAUUUAAUCAAGGAAUUGAAUCAAGGGGUAAGGUUUGUUGGUGAGCCAAAGGGAAAACCAACGGUGUUAGGUUGUGGUUGGUGAGCCUUUGGAAAAACCAACUGGGUUGAUUGUGAACCCGGAAAACAAUCGUUGUAAGGUUGUGGUUGGUGAGCCUGUGGGAAAACCAACUGGGUUUGAUUGUGAACCCGGAAAAACAAUCGGUUGGUUCUAGUCGGUGAGCCUGUAAAAACCGACCGAGUUCGUUGUGAUCUCGCAAAACAACAAGUUGGGUUGUGAGCUUGUAAAACAACCGGCUGUAAUCUGUAGGAUUAUAGUGAAAUU
RNAcentral lists this long non-coding RNA (385 nucleotides) under Phoenix dactylifera (date palm). RNAcentral's name for it is "long non-coding RNA (PDAC_LNC017755)". Lineage: Eukaryota; Viridiplantae; Streptophyta; Magnoliopsida; Arecales; Arecaceae. The record is from RNAcentral.